RNAcentral lists this ribosomal RNA (136 nucleotides) under Bacteroidales bacterium. RNAcentral describes it as "partial 16S ribosomal RNA". It matches the Rfam family "Bacterial small subunit ribosomal RNA", at positions 1 to 131 of the family's 1533-position model. The record is from RNAcentral. Lineage: Bacteria; Pseudomonadati; Bacteroidota; Bacteroidia; Bacteroidales.
ACAACGAAGAGUUUGAUCCUGGCUCAGGAUAAACGCUAGCGGCAGGCCUAACACAUGCAAGUCGAGCGGCAGCGGGGUGUAGCAAUACACCGCCGGCGAGCGGCGGACGGGUGAGUAACGCGUAUGCAACCUGCCC